This 502-nucleotide ribosomal RNA is filed under the name uncultured bacterium. Its description in RNAcentral is "partial 16S ribosomal RNA". It matches the Rfam family "Bacterial small subunit ribosomal RNA", at positions 28 to 507 of the family's 1533-position model. The record is from RNAcentral.
GACGAACGCUGGCGGCGUGCUUAACACAUGCAAGUCGAACGGUGAAGGGGCCUGCUUUUGUGGGCCCUGGAUGAGUGGCGAACGGGUGAGUAACACGUGAGUAACCUGCCCCCUUCUUCUGGAUAACCGCAUGAAAGUGUGGCUAAUACGGGAUAUUCUGGGUCUGUCGCAUGAUGGGUCUGGGAAAGAUUGCGCCUUUGGGUGUUUUUGGGGGGGGAUGGGCUCGCGGCCUAUCAGCUUGUUGGUGGGGUGAUGGACUACCAAGGCGGUGACGGGUAGCCGGCCUGAGAGGGUGGACGGUCACACUGGGACUGAGACACGGCCCAGACUCCUACGGGAGGCAGCAGUGGGGAAUAUUGCACAAUGGGCGCAAGCCUGAUGCAGCGACGCCGCGUGAGGGAUGGAGGCCUUCGGGUUGUAAACCUCUUUCGCCAGUGAAGCAGGCCUGCUCCUUGUGGGUGGGUUGACGGUAGCUGGAUAAGAAGCGCCGGCUAACUACGUG